Molecule: ribosomal RNA, 253 nt
Filed under: uncultured bacterium
Lineage: Bacteria
Description: partial 16S ribosomal RNA
Rfam family: Bacterial small subunit ribosomal RNA
Source: RNAcentral
UACAGAGGUGGCAAGCGUCGCUCGGAAUUACUGGGCGUAAAGCGUGCGCAGGCGGUGAUGUAAGACAGGUGUGAAAUCCCCGGGCUUAACCUGGGAACUGCAUUUGUGACUGCAUCGCUGGAGUGCGGCAGAGGGGGAUGGAGUUCCGCGUGUAGCAGUGAAAUGCGUAGAUAUGCGGAGGAACACCGAUGGCGAAGGCAAUCCCCUGGGCCUGCACUGACGCUCAUGCACGAAAGCGUGGGGAGCAAACAGG